GCAAAUCAACCAGUUUUUUUGAGCAUUUAUCCAGUAAAGAUUAUUUUCAGUAUUCAAUUGUAGGAAAUAUCUAAGUUAUCUGAAAAUAACUUUUUCUUAAAGCACUUGCAUUAAUCAGGGAAAAAAGAAAAAUGUAUUAUGUCAAAGCAAGAAGUAUCGCUUGCUCUUGACAAAACAUCUACAAGAAAAAUAAAAAAAAAGGGCAGAAAAUUGACUAUAAUUGUCAGGAUUGCAUAUGAAGAGCAAAAAAAAAUUCUUGUAGUAGUGCAAAAGGUUUGCACAGACCAAUCAUAUGCUGCUGAGCUCACUAGCAAUAGGCCUUUGGUUACCAUGGUUGAGAGUAUAAAACUUGCCUAUGUGCCGUUCCUAUCAAAACUUAAGCUGAUUCACUGGUUCAGGAGGAUUGAAAAAUGCUUAGCCUAUAUGAAAGCAUGAAACACUGCUUACAAAUCAGGUUGUUGAUUAAAAUUGAAUGACAAGGCAAUGGACUUAAAAUGUAUGCUUAUCAAAAGAGUGUAGGAAACAAAGCCAUGAGCCAUCAUGUUAAUGUUAAGAAAAGACCAAAGAAGCUUAGUUAUAAGCACAUUUCAGAGGAGAUGUACAUUCCCAACACCAGUAUAUUAUUUGAUGUACAAUUUCAAAAUCAGUAUAUUAUUUAAUGAAAAUGUGGAACGAAAACAUUAGGAAAAUAUAUAAUCAGAGUAGUUAAUUAAUUUUCCACUGAUGAACAAGAGAGGCAAGAAAACAGCAUCUCCACACCAAAAGAUGCGAAACAAUUAUUAAGGAUAAUCUGAUAAUGGUAGACAUUGAUCUCAACUGAUGGGUCUAAUAAUCAACUUUCAUAAGAAUAUGUGAUGAUGGUAGUUUUAAAAAUGAGAACAUCUAAAGGAAAAUGCAGACAAUGUGCCAACAUAUACAUUUUUUUUUUU
This 929-nucleotide unclassified non-coding RNA is filed under the name Hevea brasiliensis (rubber tree). Lineage: Eukaryota; Viridiplantae; Streptophyta; Magnoliopsida; Malpighiales; Euphorbiaceae. The record is from RNAcentral.